GGGGAUGUAGCUCAAAUGGUAAAGUGCUCGCUUUGCAUGCGAGAGGUACCAGGAUCGAUACCUGGCAUCUCCA
This 73-nucleotide transfer RNA is filed under the name Blattella germanica (German cockroach). Its description in RNAcentral is "tRNA-Ala (TGC) (tRNA-Ala-TGC-9-1)". It matches the Rfam family "tRNA". From Rfam's summary of the family: Transfer RNA (tRNA) molecules are approximately 80 nucleotides in length. Their secondary structure includes four short double-helical elements and three loops (D, anti-codon, and T loops). Further hydrogen bonds mediate the characteristic L-shaped molecular structure. tRNAs have two regions of fundamental functional importance: the anti-codon, which is responsible for specific mRNA codon recognition, and the 3' end, to which the tRNAs corresponding amino acid is attached (by aminoacyl-tRNA synthetases). tRNAs cope with the degeneracy of the genetic code in two manners: having more than one tRNA (with a specific anti-codon) for a particular amino acid; and 'wobble' base-pairing, i.e. permitting non-standard base-pairing at the 3rd anti-codon position. Lineage: Eukaryota; Metazoa; Arthropoda; Insecta; Blattodea; Blattellidae. The record is from RNAcentral.